RNAcentral lists this ribosomal RNA (433 nucleotides) under uncultured bacterium. RNAcentral describes it as "partial 16S ribosomal RNA". It matches the Rfam family "Bacterial small subunit ribosomal RNA", at positions 29 to 507 of the family's 1533-position model. The record is from RNAcentral.
AACGAACGCUGGCGGCAGGCCUAACACAUGCAAGUCGAGCGCGCCCUUCGGGGUGAGCGGCGGACGGGUGAGUAACGCGUGGGAACGUGCCCUUCUCUGCGGAAUAGCCUCGGGAAACUGAGAGUAAUACCGCAUACGCCCUUUGGGGGAAAGAUUUAUCGGAGAAGGAUCGGCCCGCGUUGGAUUAGGUAGUUGGUGGGGUAAUGGCCCACCAAGCCGACAAUCCAUAGCUGGUUUGAGAGGAUGAUCAGCCACACUGGGACUGAGACACGGCCCAGACUCCUACGGGAGGCAGCAGUGGGGAAUCUUAGACAAUGGGGGCAACCCUGAUCUAGCCAUGCCGCGUGAGUGAUGAAGGCCUUAGGGUUGUAAAGCUCUUUCAGCUGGGAAGAUAAUGACGGUACCAGCAGAAGAAGCCCCGGCUAACUCCGUG